CGCGGGGCUGCACAGAGGCUCCCUACAGACGGAGCAGCCAAAACCAGAGGAGCAAACCCAAACACACCUCCCCGAGGGUUUAUAUUGGCAUCGCAUCCUCGACGCGGGUCCUACACCAGAGCACCCGCAGGACCCCCAGCGGGACCUCAGCCCCUGCCGCGCGUGCCAGCGGGGCGCCUCGCAUUGGCCGCCCGUGCAGAAAUCCCCGCCCCUCCCCCGGAAUAUGCUAAUCAACGCCCACCCCAUUGGCUGGCCCGGCGGCGGCGGCUCCGAACGACAUUUGCAUGGCGGCGGGCAGCUCCUUUGUUGUCAACGGCGGCGGGCGGCGCGCGUGCUCGCGAGGGCUGGGUGGGCGGGCGGGUGGGAGCGCGCCGCCGAGGCAGCCCCACCGCCGCCCCCGGCGACCGUUACCCGCUGAGGGACGGCGCGGCGUCCCCCGGCUCGGCGGCUGAGGGGGGACGCCGGGGAGCGCCGCUUCGCCGCCUCCUCCUCCUUCUCCUCCAGGCAGGAUGGUGGACCUGGACAGCGAGGUGCCCCCGCUGCCGCCGCGGUACCGCUUUCGGGACCUGCUGCUGGGCGAGCAGGGCUGGCAGAGCGACGACAGGACUCCUCUUAUGGUGGAGCUUCAUUCAGGUUUUUCUUUUUGGUGUCUUUCAUGGUCCAUUUCUUACCCAUACUUCCCCAAUAAGGUAACAUCCAUCUCGCUACUUUUGCAUUUCUCUCUCAGAAAAAAAGUAACUGCACUUGCAUAGCUUAGAUUCCUAACCAACUUUGCAGUUGGCCUCAGUAGCAGAUGGGUUCCGUGCUGUCGUAUUCCACAAACCAUCAAAUUGUGUUGUGUACUCUUUUCUAUAAAAGAAGUUUCUUUGUGAACAAUAACACAGCGAGUCUUAGGCAAAUACAUAAACUAUAUAAAACAAUUCAUUAACAUUCUUGAAUUUGCUGAGUAGUUUUUCCUGAAAAAAAAGUAUGUUAAGACCAGUUUUGUUUUUAAGGGCUAGAUUUUCAAAGGACCUAAUUCCCUUUGAAAACCAUGGAGGUAAAGGUGAUGCUUAGAGCACACAGGAAUCACAAAUUCCCUCCUUCUGAUUUAUAGCUUAAACUUUCACCAAGGUCUCCCAUUUAACCUGGUACAAUUAGAUAAUGUUAACUCAAUAAGGUUAAAUUGCUGGGCUAUUCUGAGGCAAUCUCUUCAUAUUAAGCUAUUCACGUUUUAUAUGAAAAAAAUUACUCAGAUCAUUGUGGUUUUUUUUUUUGUAAGUUGAGGCAUUCACGUUCCUGUCACUAUGAAAAAUAUUUAAAUAUUGCCUAGAUCAACAUGAAAUUCUUCUGCAGGAGAACAGGUAAAAGAUCAGCCCAGUAGCUAAAGUAUGGGUGUGCCAUGUGGGCUAUUGCUGCAGGAGGUAGGGUAGCAUAAGAGGUUUCUUCUAGCCAUGUAAAUAUUUCGGUCACUGAACUAAGAGUAAUGAAAAGACUGAAUAAUUGACUUUUUCACUAAUUUUGUAAAUACCACUAAUAUCCCUUUGUGAAGCUCGUAUUUUACUUUCACUGUUGAAAGUAUCUGAAACUAAACGGUUUGGUUUAUUGAAUACACUGAGAUGUUUUUUUUGACUGUCAUAAUGCAGAUUGUCUUUCAGUUUGGCUGCCUGGGAAGGGAGCAGGAGUAAAGGGGUAACUCAGUGGUUAGCACAACAGUUAUUUACCCACUAACUCAGUGAGGUUUCACUGCAGUGCAAUUAUAACAGUAAAUUACGUAAUAAAAUGUUUCAGUUUUCAUAAACCUACUGAUAG
RNAcentral lists this long non-coding RNA (1791 nucleotides) under Anser brachyrhynchus (Pink-footed goose). RNAcentral's name for it is "lncRNA (ENSABRG00000022986.1)". The record is from RNAcentral. Lineage: Eukaryota; Metazoa; Chordata; Aves; Anseriformes; Anatidae.